Molecule: long non-coding RNA, 1055 nt
Organism: Eucalyptus grandis
Lineage: Eukaryota; Viridiplantae; Streptophyta; Magnoliopsida; Myrtales; Myrtaceae
Exons: 2
Source: RefSeq, a predicted model, not a curated record
CCCAAACUCUUAAUUAAUUCCACUUCAGUCCCUGUUCCUGCUCCAGCGUGCUUUCGUGCGGCGGAGCUUCACGUUCCGUGGCCGGCGACGAGCCAUUGACGGCGGCUGGCCGAGAAUCUUCCCCUCCGAGCUCGAGUCGCCAUCUCUGUCGAAGCGAAGCGUGGCCGGACAGGAGGCGAAUUAGGCGACUUGGUUCGUGUUCUUCCUUCGUUGUAUAAUGUCGGAAUCCUCCUUUUUGGGUAUGGAAUUGAAGUUUCGAUGGGUAUUCGUCUCGAAACCGGACUGAUUCGUGCGGAGGAAGGUGUAAUGUGUCCGGGAUGGAUGUUUUAGUGUAGAGGAAGAGAAGAAGCUGGGCGAAUUGGAAUGUGUUGGUCAAGUUUGUGUUUGGUAUUAAGCAUUCUGAUGCUGUUGAUGAGUGGCCUUUGACUCUGAUCCAUCCUGACAGUGAGAGUCAUGGCACCUGCUUUUAGUGCUUGAAUUGGGAUCCCCGAAUUGAUGUCGGGCAUUGUUCGCUGGCAUCUUGCAUCUGAUUUUGGGAAGUGUUGUGGAAAUUGGAUUUGACUCUCGCGAGUGUUAUGCGCCGGGCUACAGUUUAUGGGUAUUUAACUGGCAUCAUCUCCAAUCUGAGUCCAUGACAUUGAUUAGCUACUUAGACCCCGUUCGUUCCUUUCGCAACCUUGUUAAUCCGAGGACAAUUCGAUCAUCGUCUCUGGCUCCUUGGCGUGCUGUUCAGGAAGCUGCAGUUUACUGGAGCUGGCCUAUGAGAGAUACGAUACUUUGUAUGUUGAGGAAGCCUGUGAAGAUGCGUGGACUAUCUUUUCAUUGACGUUCUUUGACUUACUUCUUUGUCGGGGCACUUGUUGUGCUGCUGUGGGUAUUAGCAACACCUUAGGUUUUAGAUGUCAUGGUGAUUGAUGCUUAGGGUUGUAUAAUUGCAUUUACAGGGCUGAAAUUUUAUUUUAAUCCAAACUUAAUUGCUUAUGAUCUUUCUUAUCACUGAGAGUACCAGACUAUUGAUCAUGAUUUAGUGGAAACUGCGGUCUACAAUUUUUCAA